GACGAACGCUGGCGGCGUGCCUAAUACAUGCAAGUAGAACGCACAGUUUAUACCGUAGCUUGCUACACCAUAGACUGUGAGUUGCGAACGGGUGAGUAACGCGUAGGUAACCUGCCUGGUAGCGGGGGAUAACUAUUGGAAACGAUAGCUAAUACCGCAUAAUAUUAAUUAUUGCAUGAUAAUUAAUUGAAAGGUGCAAUUGCACCACUACCAGAUGGACCUGCGUUGUAUUAGCUAGUAGGUGAGGUAACGGCUCACCUAGGCGACGAUACAUAGCCGACCUGAGAGGGUGAUCGGCCACACUGGGACUGAGACACGGCCCAGACUCCUACGGGAGGCAGCAGUAGGGAAUCUUCGGCAAUGGACGAAAGUCUGACCGAGCAACGCCGCGUGAGUGAAGAAGGUUUUCGGAUCGUAAAGCUCUGUUGUAAGAGAAGAACGGGUGUGAGAGUGGAAAGUUCACACUGUGACGUUAUCUUACCAGAAAGGGACGGCUAACUACGUG
This 505-nucleotide ribosomal RNA is filed under the name uncultured bacterium. RNAcentral describes it as "partial 16S ribosomal RNA". It matches the Rfam family "Bacterial small subunit ribosomal RNA", at positions 28 to 507 of the family's 1533-position model. The record is from RNAcentral.